UACGAAGGGGGCUAGCGUUGCUCGGAAUCACUGGGCGUAAAGCGCACGUAGGCGGAUCUUUAAGUCAGGGGUGAAAUCCUGGAGCUCAACUCCAGAACUCCCUUUGAUACUGGGAUCUCGAGUCCGGAAGAGGUGAGUGGAACUGCGAGUGUAGAGGUGAAAUUCGUAGAUAUUCGCAAGAACACCAGUGGCGAAGGCGGCUCACUGGCCCGGUACUGACGCUGAGGUGCGAAAGCGUGGGGAGCAAACAGG
RNAcentral lists this ribosomal RNA (252 nucleotides) under uncultured bacterium. RNAcentral's name for it is "partial 16S ribosomal RNA". It matches the Rfam family "Bacterial small subunit ribosomal RNA", at positions 524 to 776 of the family's 1533-position model. The record is from RNAcentral.